Long non-coding RNA from Rhipicephalus sanguineus (brown dog tick), 278 nucleotides. RefSeq lists it as uncharacterized. NCBI's taxonomy places the organism in Eukaryota, Metazoa, Arthropoda, Arachnida, Ixodida, Ixodidae. The transcript has 3 exons. The record is from RefSeq and is a predicted model, not a curated record.
GCUCUGAUCCCCGUUCUGCGCAUGCGCGAAAAAAGAAAAAAAGGUUAACGGCUCGGGCAACGUUUUUGUUUUGCUCAGAGGCUCGGCAAAUCGUCAGCGCGGGAAAGAUGGCAGUUGAAUGCGAGGUGCCCUCUCCAGUUCCCCUGAUGGAUCUGCGGAGUCGGAUAUCUGGCGCUGCGGAGAACCGAGCUGAUUGCAGUACCAGCACUCUGAAGCACUUAUUUGAGCAGGAAAGAUAAAGGUGAGCAGAAAGUUUCGAGGCAAGACUGACUUCACGU